AAACUUGAAUUUCAGAUAUGCAAUGAAAAAUGUUUGGAUAAGUAUGUCCUAUGCAACACUCGAGAUAUAUUAAUACUUAUACUAAGAAAUUACUGUCCGGUCGUGGUGGCUCACGCCUGUAAUCCCAGCACUUUGGGAGGCCGAGGCAGGUGGAUCACCUGAGGUCAGGAGUUCGAGACCAGCCUGGCGAACACAGUAGAACCCCCAUCUCUACUAAAAAUACAAAAAAUUAGCUGGGCGUGGUGGCGGGCGCCUGUAGUCCCAGUUACUCAGGGGCUAAGGCAGGAGAAUCGCUUGAACCCAGGAGGCAGAGGUUGCAGUGAGCCGAGAUCACGCCAUUGUACUCCAGCCUGGGCAACUAGAGCGAAACUCCGCUUCAAAAAAAAAUUACUCGUGGGUUCUCUGCAUUCCAAUUUUAGUGGGCAUCUUGCGUGUUAUCUCUACCCCUAUUUGGGGAGGGCUUUAUUUUCCUCAAUGGCGUCCCCACAUCAGGGCCUGUGUCUUGCACUCUCCCCCUGAGCGGGUAGCAGAGGCGUUAUCACAGAAGGAAGGUUCUGGGGAGUUGAAUCACAACAGGCCUCCGCCGCUAGCAGGGCGGGCGCGCCAGGGACUAGGCCGCUUGGCAGGUUCGCUUUUCUUCUUUCCAUUGCGCUGAACUCAAGGAGGAGGAGGAAAGUGGGAGCUGCUGCACUCACGGCUGAGUGUGCAUGGCUGGUAGGUGACAGCCUGAGGUCUGUUCGGUGACCCCGGCCCCUCGGAGGGCCCGCGGAGACUCAGAAUUAGCUGCACCUACCACGGUGCCCGCGGGUCGGGGUGCGGAUCCACACCCCAGAGGAAGGCCGCUCCCGGGCCGCGAGGACCUCGCUGGCGGCCGCUUGGGGCAGCAGACGCCCGCCCUGCGGGGAGGUGGGGCCUGCAGGCCGCGGGGCCGCUCUCGGAGCCCGGCAGGCCUGAGCAGGUCGGGGCGCGUGUUCCGGAAGCCCGGCCCCGGGCGCUGUGAGGGGCACCUGGGGACGCUCCGCGAGUCUGUGUCCCAGCGUGAGCUCAGCGGAAGACUGCAGAGUCCUGGGCCCACGAGUAGCUGUCCUGAUGUUGUGAGGCGGUGUCUCACUGUAUCCUGCGCCGUUUUGAUGAAGGAACAUCAGAUCACGCUUCCUCUGCUGAACACCCUCUCAAGAGUAAAAGCCUCGGCCUUCCUGGUGGCCUCCCAAGCCUGAAGGAUUCCCAGUGACCUCUGGCCUCAUCUCUGGAUGAUGCCCUGUCCUUCCCCCAAGCUGUUUCCCAAGCCCACCUAGCAGCCCCGAUGUCCUUCUGUAUCUGCCUGAUGUCUCCGCUUCACCAGGACUUCAUAUAAGGUCAGAUCUUCAGAAAGGACUUCUCUGUUACUCCUACAAAAUCAGCAGUCCCUCCUCUGUCUCUGAAUCCCUCACUUGGUCUGCAGUCUUUCUUCUCUGCUGUAUAUGGAGCAUCCAGAAAUGCCACCUGGCACAUAGUAGGUGCUUAGUAUUUGCCAAAUGAAUGAAAGGAAACUAUACUGAACUAUAAACUAAGACUUCUGAGAGUUGGUGACAUUUUUAGAUAUGAAUUUAUAGCCAGAUUCUUACCAAAUUCUAUUUGUUUUCAGUGGAUUCUCCUGGGUUUCCUGGUAUGUAAUCAUAUCAUCUACAAAUAAUGACAAUUUUCCUAUACUCCCCCCUUCUUUCCUUUUUUAUAUUUUCCAGUAUAAUAAAUAACAGGGGUGAUAGCAACAGCUUUAUCUUGCUUCUGACCUUCCAUGAAGUGUCUCUGAAAUUCCACCGUGGAUGGCAAGUUAGUGUUGGCGUUAGAUCUGAGGGAUGAAUUUUGUCAUGCUGAGGAAGUACCACGGGCUCCUGUUUUACUCAGGAUGCUUUGGUUACAGCCAAGGAAGAAUGAAGGGUUAAUGCUCGUCAGCCCUCUUCAGCACCUACUGGGUAUUAAACUUUCUCUUUGACUCCUUAGUGUGGGCAUUAUGUGGAUGGGUUUCCUACAGUUGGACCGUCCUUGUGUCUUUACCUUUUAAACCCAGAUGUGUCCCUGCGAUGUGCAGCGAGCCCUUGUGGGCAGGGCCAGCCAUGUCCCCUCAUCCCUUGGUCCCCUCAGGAGGCUUGCUGGGAACCGAGGCUGGCUGCGGUGGCAAACUUCCCGGCGAGCCACUCAGGAUGGCUUAUUGUUUCUGAAUUAAACAAACGAAGAAUGAGAUUCAAUUAGAGGCAGCAUAAUGUAAACCGAGAUGGAUUU
This is a long non-coding RNA of Macaca fascicularis (crab-eating macaque), 2259 nucleotides long. The record is from Ensembl. Lineage: Eukaryota; Metazoa; Chordata; Mammalia; Primates; Cercopithecidae.